GGUCUAACAGGAUAACUUUGUUUAUUAGCUACUUUUAUAAAAAUUAUUUAAAACCUAUUAUCAUGACUAUCUAAUUUUUAAAAUUUUAAUUUUAUUACCUAACGUUUACAUAUAAAAUCAGAAUGAAAAUUUGAGUGCUCAAAAUUUAUUUAAAUAGUUUAUAACAAGAGCUGUUCAUGCACCUUUUUAAACAGAACUACUUACAUAUGAAUUGUUGAUAUGUUUGCAUAUUUAAUAUGCAGGGUUAAUUCAUACAGGCAUCUACAAAGAUAUCAAACAGCAAAUAUAUCUCUAUAAAAAUUAAGUUAUCAAAUUUAUUCAUUCAAAUUUUUUCUGAUUUAUAAAUAUAUCCUUCCAAUAGUUCUGAUUCGUUCACAUAUGUUUCUAUUAUUUGAUUCAUCAUUAAUUUUUUAACGGUUGGUGUAUAAAAGAAUUAUUUUAUUUUUACAAAUUUAUUCCAACAGAAAAUCAUUUUUCUUUCUCUCUCAUCUUGCUUUCGUCGCGGCACAUGCAGUGUACCUUAUUUUUAUUGCAAAGGAGGGCCUAUGUCGUCACCGUCAUAGGUCUCGUCGUUGCGAUUGAUAAAAAAGAGAGAAUGAGAAAUAUGAGGAAGACUCAACGUUAGAAUACAAAUUAUUUAUAUAUAUAAGGCGUAAAAAUGUCAUUUUUUUUUCUUAGGUAACUAUCGUUAACUUUUUUAACUUAUAAUUAUAUAAAUUUGAGAACAAAAGGGUAUAUUUAUGGACGGAAAAAUUUUUAAAGGAAUAAAUUUGAUAACUUUAAUUUUGUAGGGAGAUAUUUGCUAUUUGAUAUUUUUGUAGGAAGCCAUAUGCAAUUAU
RNAcentral lists this long non-coding RNA (839 nucleotides) under Ananas comosus (pineapple). Its description in RNAcentral is "long non-coding RNA (ACOM_LNC008044)". Lineage: Eukaryota; Viridiplantae; Streptophyta; Magnoliopsida; Poales; Bromeliaceae. The record is from RNAcentral.